This is a non-coding RNA of Kogia breviceps (pygmy sperm whale), 1748 nucleotides long. NCBI's taxonomy places the organism in Eukaryota, Metazoa, Chordata, Mammalia, Artiodactyla, Physeteridae. The record is from RefSeq and is a predicted model, not a curated record.
GGGCCGCGGCCGCGCGGCGGAGCCGGGAGCUGCGGGCCCUGCCCGCCCCCGGCCCGGGGUUUGCUAGGAGGAAGCCUGGAAUGUGAGGAAUGAGGGCUGGAAUGAGAUGCGCGCGGCGGAGGGCGGGAGCCGGAGGGAGUGGCGGCCCGGCCCCGGGCCCGCGGGGAGGAGACUGGGCCGCGGGGAGGGGCCGCGCGCGCGGGGCGGGCGGCGCCGGCGGGGGGCGGCCGCGGGGACUGGAGGCUGCGACCUCGGCGCCCUGCUCCGGCUUCGGCCGCCGCCCCGCGCACGUGCUUCCCCUUUGAUCUCGGCCCAGACUCUCUUCCUCCUCCCCUGGCCCGGCUCCCCGCCGGUCCUGGCCAGCCCCCCGCUCUCGGCCCAGGCCGGAACCCUUCCCCCUGACCCGCCGGCCGGCCUCUGGCCUCGCGCCCGGCCGCCAGCACGCCUCUCCCUGCGCGCCGGCCCCGAGAGGACGGGCGAGGGCGGACGUCCGGCGCGCGGGCAGCCGCUCCCUUCCCCGCGGUGCCCGCCGGGGACCCCGCUCCCGGGCCCAGGACGCAGGAGCUCCGCGCGCACACGCGUGCCCUCCGCGCACGUUCCUUUCAGCCGCGUUCCCUUCCGCCCCGCGCGGACCUGCGACGCUGUCCCCGCGGAGAGCGGCGCACUUGGGGAGAGGAUGCCCGAAGCGACGGGCGUGUGACGCGGCAGGAGACGCGUCUAAGCCUGACCCCACAUCUGUUUUGCGCCCCCCGACACUGCGAAAAUAGUGAAGGAUAAGACCUCAGCACCUGCCCUCUCAGGGUUUGCCAUUUAGCCGGGAAGACUCGCUCUGUGGAGGAGCGUCGCCAGAAAGUGGGGAGUCUCGGCCUUAAACACGCCAGCUCCAGCUUGGUGCCUGGGAUAGAUAAAUGCAUAAUAAAUGUUACCAGAAACGCACUACCACAGAGGAUCUUGAAAGUGCUAUAAAUGCUGAAGUUGCUUCCAAGAGAGGUGUUCCAAAGGCGUUUUGAGUCAUCACAGCAUCACUGGACAAAGUAUCCAGUCUCUUAAGGUGAACACUUUGAAGGAAGCAGGUCUCAUUUGGAUAUAAAUUCUGGUCUGCUUGGUAAAUGAUGCGUCACCUCAGGGCUCGGUCACACCUCGUCCACGUGAAAAGUCUGCAGCGCAGGACGGUGGGCAGGCACCGAAUGCCGCACAAACGACCCUAACUAUCCAAGACCAUAAAGGAUCAGAAACUCAGCCUCCCACAGGCUUCUAGAGAGCUCUGUGCCUUCAGGAAUCUCCCAUUCCCAAGCUGUUGAGGUCACUCUGGAUAAAGGAAAGUUCUUAGAAGUCCCGAAGGUGAAAGACAGACUGUGAUUUUACACACGUGCCUGCCCUUUCGGGGUUAUUUACAUUUCUCAAGAGACAGGACUCAUUUGUUGACCUUCAGGAAUGAAUCUCUUGGUGGAAAUAUUUCAUGUCUGGAUAGAGCUAGAGAGAUGCACAUGGCUGCCCUCAAAUUACACCAUAAAAUCCACACCUCACCUCACCUCCUCGUGAUCUCAGCCACUUUACCCGGACCCACAAAUGGAUCCUGGUCGAGCUUCACGAAAGUUGUGUGGAAAGAAGACGGCACGGGUGUGGUCAGAGCUGGGUUUGAUGUGUGGAGGCUAUUUGUGUCGUUUAUUCUCCAAAAUCAAAGUCAAAAAUCAUAUUAAUUACUUUUAUCAUGUGUCAUUUGGUAUUAUUUCCAUUCCUUUAAUAAA